RNAcentral lists this ribosomal RNA (400 nucleotides) under phytoplankton environmental sample. RNAcentral's name for it is "partial small subunit ribosomal RNA". It matches the Rfam family "Eukaryotic small subunit ribosomal RNA", at positions 587 to 977 of the family's 1831-position model. The record is from RNAcentral.
AGCUCCAGUAGCGUAUAUUAAAGUUGCUGCAGUUAAAAAGCUCGUAGUUGGAUUUCUGACAUGGCGCAAUUGGCCCGCUGGCGUCAGCUAGUGAGCGUCGAUGGUCGCCUGUCAUCCUUCCAUGAACUCUUGGCGUGCUCUUCACUGAGCGGCGCCUCUGAGGUCUGGAUCUUUUACUUUGAAAAAAUUAGAGUGUUUAAAGCAGGCUUAUGCUUCUGAAUACAUUAGCAUGGAAUAAUAAUAUAGGACUAUCGGUUCCUAUUUUGUUGGUUUCUAGGACUGAAGUAAUGAUUGAUAGGGAUAGUUGGGGGUGCUAGUAUUCAGCGGCCAGAGGUGAAAUUCUUGGAUUCGCUGAAGACUAACUAAUGCGAAAGCAUUCACCAAGGAUGUCUUCUUUAAU